Molecule: ribosomal RNA, 571 nt
Filed under: uncultured bacterium
Lineage: Bacteria
Description: bacterial SSU rRNA
Rfam family: Bacterial small subunit ribosomal RNA
Source: RNAcentral
ACGGGCGAGUAACACGUGCAUAACCUGCCCUGGAGUGUGGGACUACAUCGGAAACGGUGCUAAUCCCGCAUACGAUCUGGAGGAUGAGAAGAUCUAGAUGAAAGAUUUAUCGCUCUAGGAGGGGUGCGCGGACUACCAGUUAGUUGGUGAGGUAAGAGCUCACCAAGACUAAGACGGAUAGCCGGCCUGAGAGGGUGAACGGCCGCAAUGGGACUGAGAACGGCCCAUACCCCUACGGGGGGCAGCAGUGGGGAAUAUUGGACAAUGGGGGCAACCCUGAUCCAGCGACUCCGCGCGAAGGAAGAAGCCUUACGGGGUGUAAACUUCUUUUUUGGGGGAAGACGAAUGACGGUACCCCAAGAAUAAGAGACGGCUAACUACGUGCCAGCAGCCGCGGUAAUACGUAGGUCUCGAGCGUUAUCCGGAUUUACUGGGCGUAAAGGGUCCGUAGCCUGUAUAAUAAGUCUGCUUUUAAAAACCUGGGCUCAACCUAGGGGAGGGGGUAGAUACUGUUAUGCUAGAGAUAGGAGGGGGUCAGUAGAAUUUCCGGUGGAGGGGUGGAAUCCGUUGA